GGAGAGGUGGCUGAGUGGUCGAAAGCGCCGCACUCGAAAUGCGGUGACCCUUUACGGGGUCCGGGGGUUCGAAUCCCUCCCUCUCCGCCA
Molecule: transfer RNA, 90 nt
Filed under: Arhodomonas aquaeolei
Lineage: Bacteria; Pseudomonadati; Pseudomonadota; Gammaproteobacteria; Chromatiales; Ectothiorhodospiraceae
Also listed under: 4 other names
Description: tRNA-Ser
Rfam family: tRNA
About the family: Transfer RNA (tRNA) molecules are approximately 80 nucleotides in length. Their secondary structure includes four short double-helical elements and three loops (D, anti-codon, and T loops).
Source: RNAcentral